RNAcentral lists this ribosomal RNA (250 nucleotides) under uncultured bacterium. RNAcentral describes it as "partial 16S ribosomal RNA". It matches the Rfam family "Bacterial small subunit ribosomal RNA", at positions 524 to 773 of the family's 1533-position model. The record is from RNAcentral.
UACAGAGGGUGCUAGCGUUGUUCGGAAUUACUGAACGUAAAGCGCGUGCAAGCGGUUGGGCAAGUCAGAUGUGAAAGCCUUCCGCUUAACGGAAGAAGUGCAUUUGAAACUACCCGGCUGGAGUUCGGGAAAAGAGAGUGGAAUUCCUGGUGUAGAGGUGAAAUUCGUAGAUAUCAGGAGGAACACCGGUGACGAAGGCGGCUCUCUAACCCGAUACUAACGCUGAGACGCGAAAGCGUGGGGAGCAAAC